RNAcentral lists this transfer RNA (86 nucleotides) under Blyttiomyces helicus. Its description in RNAcentral is "tRNA-Ala". It matches the Rfam family "tRNA". Rfam says of the family: Transfer RNA (tRNA) molecules are approximately 80 nucleotides in length. Their secondary structure includes four short double-helical elements and three loops (D, anti-codon, and T loops). The record is from RNAcentral. Lineage: Eukaryota; Fungi; Chytridiomycota; Chytridiomycetes.
GGGGAAUUAGCUCAGAUGGCAGAGCGCUCGCUUAGCAACUUCUUGUAACAUGCGAGAGGCAGGGGGAUCGAUACCCCCAUUCUCCA